UACAGAGGUCACAAGCGUUAUCCGGAUUUAUUGGGCGUAAAGCGUUUCGUAGGUGGUUCGUAAAGUUACUCUUCAAAGACCACGGCUCAACCGGGGGAAGGGGAGUAAUACUAACGGACUUGAAAUAUGAUGGGGCUUCCGGAACUGAUGGUGUAGUAGUGAAAUACGUUGAUAUCAUCAGGAACUCCGAGGGCGAAGGCAGGAAGCUAAUCAUUUUUUGACACUGAGGAACGACAGCUAGGGGA
This 245-nucleotide ribosomal RNA is filed under the name uncultured bacterium. RNAcentral describes it as "partial 16S ribosomal RNA". It matches the Rfam family "Bacterial small subunit ribosomal RNA", at positions 524 to 767 of the family's 1533-position model. The record is from RNAcentral.